CAUGGAGGGACGACAAUGGGGCACUUGGUCUGCGAGGAUCCACCACCAGAUCCACCGCUGCUGCAACAGACUGCUCCGCCACUGCCGCUGCUGCAGCACACAGCUCCGCCACUGCCACUGCUGCAGCAGACAGCUCCGCCACUGCCACCACCACUGCUUCCACCAGGUACAACAAUGGUUUUCCCACUGCCGCCACAUCCUCCACUGGAUCCUCCUCCAAUCACCUUAACCCCACCCGAGCUCCCACCACCGGAUGAGCUACAACAAACAGCACCACCACCGCCACUGCCGCCAGAUGAGCUGCAACAUACUGCACCACCACUGCCACCGCUAGCUCCACAGCAAACCCCUCCAGAUCCUCCACCAACAACUACGGGGAUCUUUUGCUGGCCACCUCCAUAUCCACCACCCAUUCCACCUCCAACACAACACCCAGAAGACUGGCCACUGCCACCGGAUGAUCCACAGCACACUGCGCUGCCGCUACUGGCUCCACAGCAAACCCCUCCAGAUCCUCCGCCAACAACCAUUGGGAUCUUUUGCUGGCCGCCUCCAUAUCCACCUCCAUAUCCACCUCCGCUUGGUAUAAUGAUGACUCCGCCAGACUGUCCGCCAUAUCCUCCUCUGCCGCAGCCUCCGCCACCACCUCCAGAGCAGCAGCAGCAGCCGCCCCCUGAACCGCCGCAGCAGCAACAGCCACCCCCGCUUUGUUUUUGCUGGCUCAUCUUUUGGCUUUUGUGUGGUGCGUUAGACCUGGAAAGUGGACAAAGCAUAGUUAAUGCACACUGCUGGCUGCAAUGCUCAUUUCUCAAAAGGCCUCAUUCUCAUGGUGGUCAAUUUGUGUUCAGGAUGCAGCACCAGAGAGUACAGGUGGUGAUGUGUUGGAUCACAUGGUUGAAUGCAUGCAUGCGUACAUAAAUACACACACAAACACACCACCUUACUCCAUAUUUUCAUCCGAGGAAUGCUGGAGGGUAGGCCAUUUGGGUAAUGGUCACAAAGAGACGCAGGUGGAACAAGGAGCCUGACCCAGGUGAAAACAGGAAGCGGGGGGAAGAAGGCCAUAAGCUGAAACUCAACAUGUGAAGAGACACUGGCCCCUACUGGGAUUCAGCCAAGCAGCAGACCCCACCACCUGCACUCGCACUGAACCUCAGCCCCAGCUCUGCCGCUAUCCCUCUAUCCCGCUAACCCCAACUAACCAUAAAAGGCUGUUUAUUUCCUAGUGUACCGUUCUUUCCCAGGGCCAUUUUUCAAGCAGACCAUUUCCCCUCCCUCAUUCACAGAUUCCAUGCCUUGCCCCAGGAUCCAAAUUAUUUUCCCCACCUCUUCUCAGGUUACUUGGCAGUUUCCCCUACAUGAAAGUCACUGUUGAAACAAAGGAUUCUUAUCACAGAGGAUCCUUCCAUUAGGUGAUCCUUGCCUUGUGCUUUGAAUUGGUGCCACCCAGUGACCAAUUGACCACCUCUGGUAUCCCUAGCUUUAACUCUCUUGUUUUCUGUACUUUCUGUACUUUCUGUACUUUCUGUACUUUCUGUACUUUCUGUACUUUCUGUACUUUCUGUCUUCCACAGUACUACCUGGUUGGUUGCCAGCUAGCAAGCCAAACCAUAUUUCUGGUGUAGAUAUUGGAGGCCAGAUAAUGUGAAUGACAUGGCUGGCCCUGCAAACUGGGCAUGGAUGUAUAAGGCCUCUUCUGGGAACAAUUCCUCAGUGAACCUUUCUCUGACAGAUUUAUCCCUUGAUAAUCAUAAAGGAUUAAAUUGUCUCUUGGAACAGGUUUAGGUAAGGAUGCAAUCUCUGGCUUAGCUGCAGCUAUCAUUCAAGCAUUGCUGUUGGGGAGGACACACCAAUUCAUUUGCUGUGAUCUCAGCUGCUCAGGUGCCAUCACCCACCCCCAAAUACAACAAUCUUCUGCAUGUUUGUGGAUACAGUAGCUACACUGCAUGCCUGUAUUUCACCUCCAAACCUUAGCAGCAAAUACCGUAUUUUUUGCACCAUAACACUCACUUUUUUCCUCCUAGAAAGUAAGGGGAAAUGUAUGUGCGUGUUAUGGAGGGAAUGCCUACGGGUGGCGGUGGGGAUCUGCUGCAGUCGUGAGCAGAGGAUCUAUGGUUCCCCUUCCUUCCCUCUUCUGAGGCUUGCUUUGAAACAGCAAAGCGGGAGAAGAGCCGCUGAGUGGGGAGGAGAGAGGGACAGAGAGCUUGCUUCUUUAAAGGAGCAAAGCGGGAGAGGAGAGGAGGCGCUUACACGAGUGUAAGCAGCUCCUGUCCGGUUGGUUCCUUUAAAGCAAGCAGGCUCUCUGUCCCUCUCUCCUCCCCACUCAGCUCACUACAUAGCAGCAAAGUUUUUCAGCUCGCUAAGCUGGGGAUGAGCGGGGAGGAGGAAGAAAAGCAGAGCCUGCUUGCUUUAAAGGAGCAAAGUGGGAGAGGAAAGGAGCCUUCUCCCCUUAAACCCCUCUCCUGCAUUAUUAGCAGCAUCCUUCUCCACACACCCCAUGCGUAUUCCUUCUCCCCUUAAACCCCUCUCCUGCAUUAUUAGCAGCAUCCUUCUCCACCCACCCCACGCGUGCUCCUUGUCCCUUGAGUGCUUUUCCUUCCCUCCCCACUUAAAACGUGGUUACAAAGCACAGAUCCACAUGGAUCCUCAGGAUUUUUGCAUUGGGUCACCCCAAAUUCACCAUCAGAUCACAUGUCUGUGGCCACAGCAUGAACCACAAAAAUCAUACAUCCACUGUUUCCUUUAGAAUAUUUUUUUUCUUGUUUUCCUCCUCUAAAAACUACGUGCGUGUUAUGGUCAGGUGCGUGUUAUAGAGCGAAAAAUACGGUACAUAUACAGUGGUACCUCGGAUUACAUACGCUUCAGGUUACAGACUCCGCUAACCCAGAAAUACUACUUCGGGUUAAGAAAUUUGCUUCAGGAUGAGAACAGAAAUCAUGCUUCGGUGGCGCGGCGGCAGCGGGAGGCCCCAUUAGCUAAAGUGGUGCUUCAGGUUAAGAACAGUUUCAGGUUAAGAACGGACCUCCGGAACGAAUUAAAUUCUUAACCCGAGGUACCACUGUACCCAGAAACAAAUCUGGGCUCCUUUGUGCCCUAGGUAUGGAGCUGUAUUGGCGCCCUCAUGAAAAGAAAAAAACCAUGUUGUCAUCAUAAAUGACUCUCAAAUGGGACAUUUAACAGAACAAGCCUAUAAAUGACUACUCAAAGGCAAAGCCCACAGAGUUCAAUGGGGCUUACUCCCAGGAAACUGGGUGCACAGGACUGCAGCCUAAAUCUGGCAAGCCAGAGACAGAACUUCUGGCCAUAUUUCAACUGCCUCUUUGUUACCUUUGACAAGGUGCCAGCAGAAAGGCACUAAAUUUGAGAUUCCACACUUUUGUCAGAAGAAAGUCCCACUUAAUUCUACGGUCCCUAUUUCCCUGGCAAACUUGCAGCGGUGUGAGUGUACUGGAAAUUGGCCAAAGCGGGAAAGAAACAAGGGAAAGCGACUCGGCUAUAGUAAAUUAAGAGGCUCUCCCGACAUUUCUCAGCCAGGACAUCAACUGAAAGGCUGCUCUCAAUGCAAGUAGGGAGAGUGGAGUGUGGGAAAAGCAGGCAUUCUAGGAUGUAUGGCCCUGUAAUGGAAAGCCACACUGCGCAAGCUAACCACCAGCUUUGCCAGCCAGCUGGGGAAGGGACUCCACAGGGCUCCUGUGAUGGCCCGUGCAGGCAGCCAGAUUCGUCCUCCGAAGUGCCAACGGAGGCAAAAUUUUGUGCACCCACAGUCUGGGCCCUGGGUGGGGGCAACCUAGCCAGCCACUAGGUAUUUCCCUGCCUGGACUAGAGAACAGAAGAAGAACUCUCAACAGAUUCUCCUGUUCCUCAUUUAAAUCUGGAAGGAUGACCCUCUCCCUCCAUUGAUUGUAAGGAAAUCUAUACUGUAUCAAGAAUCCAAAUCAACCCUUUGCACCACGAUCCUACAAAAUGAAUAGCAUAUUGGUCUAAGCUGCAGAUGGUUCCGUGCAUUAAAGAGAAGGAAGAUUAUCAAGGAUCUAAGCCUUGAACUUACCUCGUUGGACAAAUGUGGCAGAAUGCAGGAAACGUCGCAAUGGAUUCGAGUGAUGAGCUUGCAAACCAGAGCUCCUCUUUAUACCCAUUUUCUGGCCGCUCCUAUGGGAAGUGAGGCACCCCAGGAAUGGUGAGUGACACAGCUAGAAUCUCCCUUAACAACCGGCCUCAUCAAUCCCAAGAUGUCAGACACGUCAUAGGAGAUCCAUAUCUCUCUUUUGUAUCACUCGCUAUUUUUAUGGGACGUAAACAGCUUAAUGAAGGUGCUACACCUAAUGAGUAAGUUCCUGCUUUGUAGCGGUGCCUCACAUAUUUGUGGGGGCUCUUGAUGGGUGACAUAUGCAAGGACUGGUUUUCUUUACGAGAGAGGGUAGCUUCUAACAGGUUUAGGCAAAUCAGGAAAAUUAGACAAAUUACCAACAUGGUUUUUUCCCCCUCACCGGAACUCAGUUCCUGCACCUCUUAGGUGGGUGCCAAGCUAUUCUAAGAGAACGAGGGUGGUGUUCGUGGCGAGUUCCAGCACCUCUUUUUUACAGAAAAAAAAAAGCACUGGUUAUUACAGUGGUACCUUGGGUUACAUACGCUUCAGGUUACAUACGCUUCAGGUUACAGACUCCGCUAACCCAGAAAUAGCGCUUCAGGUUAAGAACUUUGCUUCAGGCUGAGAACAGAAAUUGGGCUCCGGCGGCGCGGCAGCAGCAGGAGGCCCCAUUAGCUAAAGUGGUACCUCAGGUUAAGAAUAGUUUCAGGUUAAGUACAGACCUCUGGAAACAAUUAAGUACUUAACCCGAGGUACCACUGUACUGCACUUAUUUUUCCAUAAGUUAAGAGACAGCAGUAGUGUGAUAUUUAGAAUGUUGGACUAGGACCUGGGAAACCACGGUUCAUAUCUUCACCCAACUCUGAAGCUCAGUAAAUGUGGCCUUGGGCCAGUCACCACCUCGCAGCCUAGGCUACCUCACAGGGCUGUUGAGGGGAUGGAAUGAGGAGGGUGAGGAGCUUGUAGGCCACCCUGAGCUCCUUAGAGAAAAAGGAGAUAUAUAGAUGCAACCAACUAAUCAAUCAAAUCUCUUCCCUGCCAUUUCUAUGCUAAUCUGCAUUAAGAAAGGAAAAAGAAAAAGUAGAUUUGCUGUUAAACACAUUAGGUUGUACCCUAUUAGAUUCUGCUUAGAUUAAACCUGUUGAAAACAGAGGGCAUAAAUUUAGUCAUUAAUAUCGGUUGGUAUACUCUGAAUAUGACUAACAUUGGAUUCUCUGAAGCAAAGGAUAUGUUCACACAUUUCACAGAGCGCAAGUGCCAGCUGCUUCUACACGCGUACACUUGUGUGAAAGAGUGUACACUUGUUAAUUUGUAUGGCUCAACAACUGUGUACACAGAUAAAUUGCCUGUGCACUAAUUAAAUGUUGCAUAUAUGUGUGCAGACCAACUGUUUGUGUGCGUGGUUACACAGAUUGUGCGGACAACCCUAAUGUCCUCAGAAAGACAUAGCAGGUCAAGCUACUUCUAAUAUAGUAUGAAUCUGAAGUGGGAUAAUAUGAAAUGGACACAUACAGUUUAAUUGGGUAUUUUUAGAACUGUGCCAGACCCGGUUAUGACUUGAAGCCUGAUUGAGCCUCCAGUGGCCCCAGUCUGAACCAGGAUGAUCUGGGGCUGACCAGAUCCAGAUCCCAAAGCUGAACCAAACUGGCAGGGGGGUCUUACACAGUUUUAAUUAGGGUUUGACUCCCUAAUUAAGCAUGUGAAGGUGGUGACACAGCCUGUUUCUUAGUCUCUGACUCUCCUGCUGUUUAACAGUCCUAAAUCACUCCAGCUGGACAUGAUCUGACCCAGGCUGAUUUGUGGUUUCCUCAACAUUCUCUGGCUGAAUCUCAACUUGAUCUAAACCGGUCCAAUUCAGUUCGAGAUCUGGGAUCACAGCCACGCAUUAAGGCUUUUGAAUAACAGUUGCUCGAAAUCACAGGAGGGGAGAGCGCUGUUGCACUCAUGUCAAUCUUCCACAAAACAAAAAGAGAACGUGGUAAGAGGAUAGGACAUUGAGUUUUUGCUUACAUAAUUCACAUUGUCAUCGAAAAUAUAUGUAUUGUGCUCAUUGCAUGUCCCCCAAGCAUAUUUUCCAAAGAUUAAUGAGAUACGUAGAAAGUUAAUUUGGGAUAAUGGUCCACUUCCUUUUGAUUUGAGAGAACGCAGCUGCCAAUAACAGAAGGAGGUUAUUCCAGAAAUUGCUUUAUAUUUUAUUAGUUUAGCCAGUGUGGUGUGGUGGUUGGAGUGUUGGAAUAGGACCUGAGAGACCAGGGUUCAAGUCCCCACUCAGUCAUCAAGCUCAUCACUCGAAGGAUUGUUGUGAUCAUAAAAUGGGGAUGGGGAGAACUACAUACAACCUUGAGCUCUUGGGAGGAGAAGUGGGAUGUAAAAGCUAUACAUAAAUAAAUGGAAUAAAAAAUAUCCCACAAAGCAUAUAGAAAUGAUUGGCAAAUGCUUACUUUUAUUGGGUAACUUUAGAGAUGGCUUACUUAACCCCCCCUCUUUGGUCCUUUGUUGGACCUUCACCACUUUCAAUUUUAGCAACUAGAGAGAUUUCGCAUAUCUCAAUAGCUACCAUUUGAGCCACAUACACUAAAUUAAUCCAGAUUUGUAAUUCUGGAUUUGUAAUCCAGAAAAUGUAAUCCAGAUUUGAAGAGAGAGACAACCUUUAUGUGGAAGAAAUGGGCUGAAUAUGAGAUGCCUACAUUAGAUCUGCUGUUUAGAUGCAUUUUUUUUGUCAUUUCCUGAUUUGCAGGAAUGACUGGCAAGUGCAAAAUAUAAAUACAGUGGUACCUUGGUUUAAGAACAGCUUAGUUUAUGAACAACUUGGUUUAAGAACGCUGCAAACUCGGAAGUAGAUGUUUUGGUUUGUGAACUUUGCUUUGGAAUAAGAACAUGUUUCACUUCCUGUUGAGUGUGUUCCCUUUGUAAAUUGAGUCCCCUGCUGCUAUGGGAAAGCACGCCUUGGUUGAAGAGCGCUUUGGUUGAAGAACGGACUUCCGGAACGGAAUAACUUCGUAAACCAAGGUACCACUGUAUCUCCAAUUACCAAUGUUUGCUGGGGUUUAUUUAUGGACCGUCUGCUUCAAGCAUUUCACCACCUCCUACAUUAUGGAGGGAAUUAUUGGAUCCUUACAGAAAGCUAAAUCUACAGUUUUAAAUGCUUUAUGAGUCUUUUAAAGGUUUGUGUUCAGGAAAGAAAGGUGUGGAAUAGGGAAUUAUAAUGUGUCACACAGCCUAAACAAUGGAAAGUUGCUUUGGAAUCUAAAGAAUAUGAAAUAUUUCCUAAGACUUGAGACGGAGUUUGAUGCAGCAAAAUUUAACAUUAUGAGCAUAUUAGACUCAAAAAUGUUUGUAUAGAAAUCCACUGUCCAAAACAGAUAAAUGUUGGAGGUAUUGACUUGUUGAGGAAUAUGAUGUGGGGCUUGUUCACUGAUAUAUUCUUCUUUGUACUAAUACUGUUGCCUAAAUCAAUUUUGUAUUGGUGAAAUCCAUAGCGUUUGCAGGUGCUCAUGUUCUUGUAAAUGAUAUUCUUCUAGUAAUGGCAGGACAACAAAAAGAAACAAAGAGAUUUAUACUUUGAGUAUAAAUUCCUUUCCCAGAUCUACAAUCCCAGAGUUUCCUGUGAAGAAAGAAGAAUUGUUAAAUCACUCUGGAAUCUGUAGCUCUGGGAGGGGAACUGAGUCUCCUAACAAUUAUUAGCACCAUUAAUAAACUACAGUUCCCAGAAUUAUUGGAGGGGAGAGCCAUGACUGUCUAAAGUGAUAUCAUGCUACUUUAGACAAAUGGUGUCAAUGUGGUCUAAGUCUCAGAGGUGGUGGCUCUCAAAUCUUUUGCAGAUUUUGGGAUGCGGGUGGUGCUGUGGAUUAAACCACAGAGCCUAGGACUUGCCGAUCAGAAGGUCGCGAUUCAAAUCUCUGCGACGGGGUGAGCUCCCGUUGCUCGGUCCCUGCUCCUGCCAACCUAGCAGUUCGAAAGCACGUCAAAGUGCAAGUAGAUAAAUAGGUACCGCUCCGGCGGGAAUGUAAACGGCGUUUCCAUGUACUGCUCUGGUUCGCCAGAAGUGGCUUAGUCAUGCUGGCCACAUGACCUGGAAGCUGUAUGCUUGCUCCCUCGGCCUGUAAAGCGAGAUGAGUGCUGCAACCCCAGAGUUGGUCACGACUGGACCUAAUGGUCAGGGGUCCCUUUACGUUUUUAAGGCUGCUGAUGCCCACCUCUUGUCUGUGGAUAGUACCAUUGCCACCAUACCAAAGAAGACGUGAGACAAGACAAAGUCCCCACUCCUGAGCCAACUACCAGCUGUAUUCUAUGACCAUGCAGUGAGGCUCAAGGAAAAUCUCCCCCAUCCCCGUGUGCUCCUUCAGUGCACGAACUUGACAGGUGCACCAUGGCCCUGUUGGUCAACAUUCACCCCAAUGUGCCUGCCAGGAUGCUUUUCAGCAGCUAAAUAAUGGCUUCCUCGUCCCUUGAAUUGCCUUGGAAAUUUAUGUCUCAAAAUGUUGCUUUUCUUGAAUGUGCAUAUCAGUUCUCAUCCCAGAUCUCAGCUUGUCUCACUGCACAGUGAGUGCUUUCAAUUACUUCUGUCCCUCAGUAAUGCAUCUAGUAAAAGCCACAAGUGGAGGACAACCCACAAUGGAACUUGAAUAAUGACCUACAUAUGUGUCUUGCCCACAUAUAGGCACAGAGAACAAGGGCACAAAACAACAGUGCAUGCAUUGAAAUAUGGGCCACAAAUUUAUGAGCCUGAUGUGCUGCAUUCUUGACUAGUUCAAAGCAAUAUUUCUAAACUCAGGGCAGGUAUGCUUACUCCCAGGGAGUAAGACAAUCAAAAGAAUCACAGGAAUCGCUGGAAUAAUUUUCCUCCAAGGAUCAUAGAAAGCUGCUUUAUAAAGUCGGGUCACUGGUCCACCUAUCUCAGUAUUGUUUCACAGAUCAGCAGCAUCUCCCUAUGGUUUCAGGUGUGGGGCAUUCCCACACCUAAAGCAGAUAUACCAUAAAACAGUGGUGGCCAAUGUUAUGUCUGCCAGAUGUCCGUAGACUGCAGCUCCUACCAUCUUGACUGAUGACCAUCGUGGCUGGGGGCUGAUGAGAUUUGUAACUCCUGCCAUACGGGGUUUGUUUGCGUAAGCCGUGUUUUUACACUCUGAUGUACUCUGGCGUUAGCCAUGGUCUUCCUGGGACUCUCCUUCAGUUGACACUAAACCUUCUUGAGCCAGCAUGUUGGACUGUGAAGUGGGAGAUCUGUGUUGUAAUUCCCAUUCAGUCAUGACGCUCACUGAGUGACCUUGAGUCAAUCAUCCUCUUUCAUGGCUACUAGCAAUGAUGGCCAAGGUCCUCUUCCAUGGUUGGAGGAAACAAUGCUUCUGAAGAACAGCUGCUGGAAACUUCAGGAGGGCAGUGUGUUCGUUUGUUCAGAUCCUGAUUGCCAGUUCCUGAUGGGGCAUCUGGUUGGCUAAUAUGAGAAGAUGUUGGACUUGAUGGGCCUUUGGCCUGAUCCACUAGGUGGCUGUUGUUGUUACAUUUCAUACUUGUCUUUCAUGUCACAAGGCAGGUUACAACAAUUUAAAGGCAACAUUAAUAUUUAAACAUAAUAUUACAUAAAUUUUAAAAACCCAGUUCAAAACAAUUUAAAAUUGAAAAAAAAUAAGGUGAGUCUUGAAAAUAUACAGAUGUUCAGCCUACAACAUAAUAUCAUUGAAUGAAGACAGCGAAAGGGUGGGGAGAUCUGACUUGGCAGACAAGUGGGAUAAUAAUAGUGAACUCCCUUUUUUAGUGCAUGUUUGUGUGUUAAUGACUUUCCCUUCCGUCAUAUCAUCAACACAGAUCAAAGUAGCAGAUAGACUGGAAACAACAUAUCUCCUCAAGAAUCUUGGAAUUGACCUACCUCAGGAAUGGCAGUAAAGAGAGGCAAGUGAAGUUGAACACACUUAACUUUCUGAUGGAGGUUGUGGGAUACAAACAGGAGCAAAAGAUCUCACAAACACCUGAUGCAUAACCACAGAGGAGAGCACUAAAGCACACCAAGCAGAUUCCUACAUCCUACACCUUCUAGAUAUUACUGAAACGCUUCACUUGUGACUUUUACCAACCUCAAGGAGAACAGUAUUCUGGUUACAGCUUAGCUUUUAACGCAAUGCUCAGGUGACUCAGCUAGACUGGUAAAUAAAAAGUGUUUUAUAUGCAUUGUAUAUGCAAUAUAACACUGUGACACCAGAUGGUGCUGUGGAGUCCCAUCUUUCCCUACUGGAUUUCCCCGUAUGAGUUUACAAUGCAUUUAACUGAAUCACUUCUUGGACGUGUCUAGAUCCAGUCCUUUCUCUACCCCUCUCCCAUUUCCUUGACUCCCAUUCACCCAGCCCUCUCCUCCCAAGCCCCCUUCCCAACAUCCCAACCCUUAUCUCCUACUUCUGCAUUCCUUUAAGCCCUCCACUCCUUCCCUCCCCCCCUCCCCCCACCCCUCUUGCAAAAGAAGGGCUUCUGUUUUUCUAUCCCUCAUACUCUGCUAUGCUGUACUGUACUGUAGUGCACUAUACUAAAUCACACCAGUUGCUUAGUUCUGAAAAGCCUCUCCGCCUAACAGAGGGGAGGGGUUGUGAGUGGGAGCCGGUUCCUGCGUCUGCAGGGGGGGGGGCGUCUUUGGCCCCCUGUGUCAGCUUACCUGGCUGCCGUGCCACGCCCGUAGGGCUGACUUGGGGGCAGGGUUUAGCUGCAUUCAAGCAGCCGUGGCAGCCCCGUGCCCUCAUUGUGCGCCCAGAAAUCGAUUGAUCACCCGCCCGCCCUCCCUUAGGUAAUAUCUAUGCUUCUGACCUUGCUCUGGGCUUUGCUUGGUUGCCCUGGCUGCCCGUGGGGGCCUGGUAGGAAUUUGUACCCAUUUGGCAAAUUGACACCAGCCUCUUGGUUUUCCGCCUACCUCGUAGCAAUUCGUCACAACUUUUGAGUAUUGGCGGUUAGGCAUUGCAAUAUGUUUCGUGUGUUGGAGGUCAGGUUGUGGCCAUCACCUACCCCUCCCCUUUUUGGUAUUCCGUUAAAGGAAUCCGGUGGUCGUGGAUCCUGUCCGAUGCCCUGCUGGUGGCUAGGGCCAUGGCAGGACCCCCAGUGACAUCAGGGGAAGCUUCCAGUUGUAUUUGCAUCAACAGGCUCCUCCCACUGGCUGCUAACCUUCGAAUGACUCCCUGCCGAGCAGGGUGGAGUCACGUAUAGAUUGUUUGAUCCAAUGCCUAAGCCAAUACUGCUCACAUGCUGUAACCAAUAAAAUUGUGGCCUUCUUUAGCCCAUUAACCUAAAAUACAUGUGCCCCUGUGUCUUAUUUAUCUCUAGCUGGUGGCGGGUCCUCUACUCACAAUAAGGGGACCUCCCACAGAGGGAUUGUGCUUUCUCCAGUCAAAACCAAACAAAGUGUAAAGUGAAGUGGGCCACAGCCUAGCCCAUGGUGAAAACCAACAUCCUGGGUCAGGAUGUUGCCAGCACUCCAAACAUCACCGCUGGAGACCACACGCUUGUGGUGGGAGAUGAUUUUGUCUGGUUCAUCUACAUUUAAAUUUAAACAUAAAUAAUUCUCUUUGAACCCGGCUUCCACAUUCAUCAUAUUGUUGUUGUUUAGUCGUUUAGCCGUGUCCGACUCUUCGUGACCCCAUGGACCAGAGCACGUCAGGCACUCCUGUCUUCUUCAUCAUAUUACCAACACUUUAAAUUGUUUCCAUGUUAUAUUUCAUCAUUACAAUGUAAUGAUACAAUGUAAUGUGAGAGGGAAAAUGACUAUUACUCAUACUUAAUCGAAGCACAAGGGAUUCUAAUUAGGCAUUUCAGCUAUGCGAUGUUGAGUGCUUUCUGUUAGCCCUGUCCUAUCUUGUUUCUGCCCUGCUUUCCUUUUUUAAAAAUUCAAGCAACUCCAUGAACGAAGAACUUGUACAUUGACCACUAAUAAUGAACAAUAUGUUGUAGAUAUCAUUGCAAAUUUAUUGUGCUGUUUUUGUGAUGUACAAAUGACUUAGAAGACUAUUUAUCAUUUCUUAUUCCUAUGAUCCCUGUUUAUAAAUGGUCCUUGUUUAAAAGGUUUAUAUACAUUCAGGCUAUAUUUCAACAUAAUAUUCUUGAAUGAGGACAGUGAAAGGGUGGGGAGAUCUGACUUGAAGGACAAGUGGGAUAAUAACAGUGAACUCCCUCUUCCUACUGAUAUUACGCUCACCUGUUGCUGAUAUUUCAAUUGGACCAUUAGUAGAUGUCAUGUACACUCAGGCAUUCCACAAAUGUUUUUUUGGUUCCUCCGUCAAAAAAUGUGUUUGUCGUGACACUGCUGCUAUGUUUGAAUGACAUUCAUAUAUUGCAGUGAUAUUUUCAUGUCAAAAAUGCACACAUGCCUUCACACCCUUGACUUAUUGGCCUCCCCCAAAAUGGUAUUGAUGUUUAUUGGAAUAUUAAACCUUCCAAGUUGCUGAUUAUCACUUUCCUUAGCCUGAAAGUUGGUGUUUAUACUACAUUUUUAAAGAUUUGCCUUGAGAGAGUCUUUAAACCUCUUUUGUUGACCACCAACCUUCCGCUUUCCAUUUUUAAGUUUCUUUGGAAGACGAUAAUCAGGCAUCCACACAACAUGACCAGUCCAGCGAAGUUGAUGUUGAAGAAUGGUGAUCUUUGCUUCUUCAAGUACACUGGCAUUAGUUCGCCUGUCUUCCCAAGUGAUGUGUCAGAUUUUCUGGAGUCACUGUUGAUGGAAUCUUUCAAGGAGUUGGAGAUGGCGUUUAUAAGUGGUCUUGGAAAUGUAGCUAGCCAUAAUCUAAAUUGGUCAGUUGUUUGAAGGACUGCUGUCCUCAGGUAAACCAACACACUUGGGCAAGGAAGCCAACUCUCUUCCUAGUGGGGAACAGAAUGUUUUUCCUUAAGAUUCACUUAAUUGAUGUGUUUCCCUGGCUCAUAACAAGCCAGAAGGCAAAAUGCCUUUCAAUACAUUUCAGUGUUGUUCCUUCCAGUCUUACUCUUGAGGUAAACUUGAUUGGAUGCUUGAGAUUCUUCAUGGCUUCUGAUCUGCACCAACUUGAUCUGCACCUGCAAGACUAAGAGGUGAAUCCAAAUUCAAUCCCUCACUUUCUGAAAUUUUGAAAAUUGCAAGUUUUUCUUGUUUUGAGAGAAUAUGGCAUUUAAAAUAUCUGUUUAAAUGCAUUGUGUGUGCUUGAGUGGUGUGGAAUCUGGAGUUGGAGCAGUCAGCAAUAGUUUAGCAAAGGCAAAAGUCAAUGUUCCUGGUAUUUUAUAUCAGACCUGUUCAUUCCAAACAUUCUGUUCUGUCUCCCAGACACAAGGUGGUAACUGUGAUGUUGAAUAUACACCUGGGAAAGAGUGUUAGGUAAUCCUGGGCCUCUCGCUCCACUGGAUCUCAGCCUAAGAACCUAAUGCCUAGCCUUGACCUGGUACUGGACACAGAAUCCUCAGAGGAUGAACCAGACACCUCACAUUGACAAAGAUCAAUGACUUUGAGUAGCAUUCAGGAUCCCAUGAAACCAGUACCCAGAGCCCUCUAGGAAAAGGAAAAUGCUGAAGGGCCCUUGGAGAUGUCAGAGGAGGUACUGGAUCCAGCCGCAUACCCCAGUCUUUGAGAAUUCUGGAGCCAACAGGUCCAGACUGAAGACUGCCAACAUAGCACGUGUUUAUGAAUUCAGAAUUGACACACCUCAUGAGUAAGCAAUCUCUAAAGUGCCAUCUCUUACCAGCACUUGGUGCUAUGGUAUUGUGGGGCUCCUUAGGUAGAGGUAAAGGGACCCCUGACCAUUAGGUCCAGUCGCGGCCAACUCUGGGGUUGCGGUGCUCAUCUCGCUUUACUGGCUGAGGGAGCCAGUGUACAGCUUCCCCGUCAUGUGGCCAGCAUGACUAAGCCGCUUCUGAUGAACCAGAGCAGCGCAUGGAAAUGCCUUUUACCUUCUCACCAGAGCAGUACCUAUUUAUCUACUUGCACUUUGACGUGCUUUCAAACUGCUUGGUUGGCAGGAGCAGGGACCGAGCAAUGGGAGCUCACUCAGCUGUGGGGAUUCGAACUGCCGACCUGCUGAUCAGCAAGCCCUAGGCUCUGUGGUUUAACCCACAGCGCCACCCGAGUCCCGUGGGACUCCUUAGGGUUCAAUUUAAUCCUCCAUGCUGUCUAACAUCUUCAUGAAGCUCCUGAGUGGGGUUAUCUACUCCCCAUGUGAAAUAUCUCAAACCCUGCAAUCAUCAUCCGAGACCUUUCUCCAUGUGCCUCCUCUGUGAGAGGUCCAGAGAGCAACAAACUUGAGUACAGGCCUUUUCUGCGUUCGUUCCCUGCUUGUGGAAUGUUAUCCCUAGGGAUUCCCACAUGCUGUCCUUGUUGCAUUUCUUUAGGCGCCAGUUGAAAACAUCGCUCCUGACUCACUACACAAUCAAUGAUCUUUUAAACUUUGUGUUGGGGGGUAUUGUUUUUGCUUGUUAUUGUGGUACGAAUUUAUAUAUUUUUAUAUUGUAAAGUGCCCCGUGAUCUUCAGAUGAAGGGUGGCGUAGAAAAUUAAGUAUUUUUUAUUAAUAAUAGCAACUCUCUAGACUUAUUUAACUUACCGUAUAUGCAGAAUUCAUCAUGCGAAAGGCUGGGCCGGAUGAAUCCCUAGCCGGAGUUAAGAUUGCCGGAUGAAAUAUCAACAACCUGAGAUAUGCAGAUGACACAACCUUGAUGGCAGAAAGUGAGGAGGAAUUAAAGAACCUUUUAUUGAGGGUGAAAAAGGAGAGCGCAAAAUAUGGUCUGAAGCUCAACAUCAAAAAACCGAAGAUCAUGGCCACUGGUCCCAUCACCUCCUGGCAAAUAGAAGGGGAAGAAAUGGAGGCAGUGAGAGACUUUACUUUCUUGGGCUUCAUGAUCACUGCAGAUGGUGACCAAACUGCGGGAGGCAGUGGAAGACAGGAGUGCCUGGCGUGCUCUGGUCCAUGGGGUCAUGAAGAGUCAGACACGACUAAAUGACUAAACAACAACAAGACUUGGGAUUCCUCGCAACUAGUAUUCAGAGGCAUAUUGUCCCCAACUGUGCAGGCGGAGCAUAGCGAUUGUGACCAGGAGUCACGAGAAGUUAAUAGAGAAGGAAUGUAGCUUAGUUAGUGAGCAUGCCUAUUGGAAGCCCAAUGAUAGAUAUUAUGUCCAUAGUCUUGCUGACAGAUCUAUCCUCAUUCUCAAGUAACAAUUCUCUGUUUAUGGGCAUGCAGAGCUUUGUUUGAUGUUGUGACUAACUGAUCACAGGUCUCCUCUCACCUGAGCAUCCAGCAUACUCCUCUAAACCUGGAAAGAAGAAGUUCCUCAGUCUUCUUCCAGCUGCUGGAGUGUCAUUGGCCAAUUGCUUCUGGAUUCUGGGAUGUUCUAACUUCAACAUCAACAGGUGAGGUUCAACAUGCCCCACAUAAGCCUGUGGCUUCCUGGCAUCUCACCGCAGAGUACCUGAGUGGAACAUCCAAAUCCAAGAACAGUUUGGCCUGAAGCUGGAUGAGUCAUGCAUUCCAAACAUGAGAAGCCAGCACCAUUGUCUGGUUGCUGGGACAUUCCAUUCCCACUCCUGACAAGCCUCUAGCUGCCAAAUGAUGUACGGUACGUUUUUCAUCCACCGCUUGGUUGGUAGAGGUUGUUCCUCCUUUUGGCCACUAGAGGGAAAAGGAGACAAUGAAGUAAAGAAUCAUAAAAAGGUAAAGGGACCCCUGACUAUUAGGUCCAGUCGCAGACAACUCUGGAGUUGCGGCGCUCAUCUCGCUUUAUUGGCCAAGGGAGCCGGCGUACAGCUUCCGGGUCAUGUGGCCAGCAGGAGUAAGCCGCUUCUGGCAAACCAGAGCAGCACACGGAGAAGUAGUUCACCUUCCCGCUGGAGCGGUACCUAUUUAUCUACUUGCACUGUGUGCUUUCAAACUGCUAGGUUGGCAGGAGCAGGGGCCGAGCAAAGGGAGCUCACCCCGUUGUGGGGAUUCGAACCACCGACCUUCUGAUCGGCAAGUCCUAGGCUCUGUGGUUUAACCCACAGCGCCACCCACGUCCCAAAGAAUCAUAGAAUUGUAGAAUUGGAAGGGACCCCAUGGGUCAUUUAUUCAAUUUGUAUUGAAUUGGAUAGUAGAAGAUCACAGGACAGUUCACAAUGUAAAAUGGCACAAGAAGAGCUCUGCUGGAUAUGAUAAUGAUCAUCAUCAUCAUCAUCAUCAUCAUCAUUAUUUAUACCUAAAGGUCAGGGGUACCUUUACCUUUAACUAUGGAAAUAGAACAGAUGGACAAUGGUAAAAGAUGCAGCAAAUUUAAUCUUAAAUAUGGAGCCCAUGGAGGGAAGGAAGGAGGUCUGAAGGUACAAAAGAACCUUUUAUUUUAAUGUUUGAAAUUGUUAAAGUUCAAAUGUAAAAAAAAAUGUAAAAAAGUAAUAAUUUUUAAACCCCCCUCCAAAAAGAGUGCUCAUUAAUGGUUCCAUCUUGCUCUGGUGACAGGGACAGCCUAACUACUGUUGCCUAUGCUCUGGUAACAUCAAGGUUAGAUUACUGCAAUGUGUUAUAUGUAGGGCUACCUCUGAAGAUGGUUCAGAAACUUCAGCUGGUGCAGAAUUCAGCGGCCAGGUUGCUCACUGGAGCAAGAUGGUUUGAACCUAUUGCACCGAUCCCGGUCCGACUGCACUGGCUACCACUUAGUUUCCAGACCCAAUUCAAAGUGCUGGUUUUGAUCUAUAAAGCCUUAAAUAGCUCAGGACUGCAAUACCUCAAGGACCGCCUCUUUCCAUAUGAACCUACCUGGACCCUGAGAUCAUCUUCUGAGGCCUUUUUCGUGUGCCUCCUCCUCCAGAGGUCCGGAGGGUGGCAGUUCAAGAACGGGGCCUUCUCGGCAGUGGCUCCCCGUCUGUGGAUUGCUCUCUGCAGAGAAGUUUGCCUGGCCCCUUCAUUACACACCUUUAGGCACCAGGCAAAAACGUUCCUUUUUAACCAGGCCUUCGGUUGAUCUGAUUUACAUCUUAUGCCCUUUUAAAAUGCUGGGGGGGGGGGGGGGUUGCCAGCGGGGUUAUUGGGUUGAUGUUUUUAUUUUGAUUAUGUAUUUUGUGAUUUUAUAUUUUGAUUUUAUUCUGUGAACUGCCCUGAGACCUUUGGGUUUAGAGUGGUAGGUAGGUAGGUAGGUAGGUAGGUAAGUAAAUAAAUAGCAGGGUGUUUGACUAGAUAACCCUCAGGGUCCCUUCCAACUCUACAAUUCUAUUUUAUGAUUCUUCCCACCUGUGAUUCCUAGAAACUAGGAUUCAGAGGCAUACAGUGGAGGCAGAACAUAGUCCUUGUGACCAGUAGCCACUGAUUGUCUUCUCCUUCAUGAGAAGUUAAUAAGGAAGGAAUAUAGCUUAGCUGGUGCGCAUGCAUUUUUCAUGCAGAAGGUCCAUAGUUCAAUCCCUAGAAUCACCAGGUAGGACUGGGAAUUUUGCUUGCCUGAAACCAUGGAGACAGACAGACAGAAAAUGAAUAUACAGUGGUACCUCGAUUCACGAACUUAAUCCGUUCCGGAAGACCGUUCUUAAACUGAAACCAUUCUUAAACCAAGGCGUGCUUUCCCUAAUGAGGCCUCCCACCGCCGGUGCCCUUCCACCAUUCGGAUUUUGUAGUUAGACCAAGGUAAAAUUCCCAAACCAAGACACAACUUCCAGUUUUGUGGAGUUUGUAAACCAAAUUGUUCUUAAACCGGACUGUUCUUAAACCGAGGUACCACUGUAGAGAAAUCUGAACUAGAUGGACCAAUGGCCUGACUCUGUGUAAGGCAGUUUCCUCUGUUCCUAUGCUUAUCUGAACCUAUUUAACUAACGUGGCUAAUAGCCUUUCACAGCUGGAAGAAAGAGGAUGAGGACAGAAGAAUAGCCCUGCAGAUGCAUCAGGCCAGUGGCCCAUCUAGUCCAGGAUCCUAAAGAUCUAACCUCACAGGGGCCCAUCAGAUUCCCUAGGAAAUCUGCAAGCAGGAUCUGACUCUCCCCACAGGGAAUGUUGUAGGUUUUUUAAAGGGGCAGUGAAAUAAUAUAAGCUAUGUAGUCUUUAAAUCAUGGUAAUCAUGAUUGUGCUAUCCCUAGGGAGGCUUGCCUGGUGCCCUCACUAAACAUCUUUAGAUGCUAGGCAAAAACAUUUCUCUUCUUCCAGGCCUUUGGCUAAUUAAAUGAUCUAUGGCCUUUCAAACCGUGUUUGGUGGGUUAUUGUUUUAGUUUGUUAUUACAGUGUGUUUUUAUAUUGUAAAGUACCCUGUGAGUGAAUGAGACCCUGCCUUACCAACCUCAGUCUCUGUAGUCUCCCACAUGUCUGCCUACAAGUCCAGGGGGUUGUCCUGCUUAUCAGCUUCCUCAUCCUUAGCCAUCAGUGCCAUCUUUGUAGGACACAACAAGGAAGAGAAUGAGGACCAAACUAGCACGAUCUUUUAUAUGCGGUGAACUUGUAAAAGGGUAAAAGAGUAUUUGGAAAUGAUCCAUAAUGAACUGAAGAAAAAAAAAUGUUUACAGUCAUACCUUGGGUUGAAGUUGCUUCAGGUUGAGCGCUUUCGGGUUGCGCUCCGUGGCAACCUGGAAGUAACAGAACACGUUACUUCCAGUUUUGCCGCUCGCGCAUGCGCAGACAGUCAAAAUGAUGUCACACGCAUGCGCAGAAGUGGCGAAUCGUGACCUGCGCAGACGUGGGUUGCGUUCGCUUCAGGAUGCAAACAGGGCUCCAGAACGGAUCCAGUUCGUAUCCAGAGGUACCACUGUAAAAGUACUUUCCCCCUAAAACCCGGAGUCCUUUCUGUCGGGAAUAAUUCAGACUGAAAUUCCCAGGUGUCAAAAAGGGUUAUUUUUGGGCUUGCCUCUUGGGCUUGCCACUAGGAAAGUCAGCAGUUCGAAUCCCCAUGAUGGGGUGAGCUCCUGUUGUUUGGUCCCAGCUCCUGCCAACCUAGCAGUUUGAAAGCACGCCAAAAAGUGGAAGUAGAUAAAUAGGUACCACUCCGGGGGAAGGUAAACGGUGUUUCUGUGCACUGCUCUGUUUUCGCCAGAAGCUGCUUAGUCAUGAUGGCCACAUGACCCGGAAAAACUGUCUGCAGACAAACGCCGGGUCCCUCGGCCAGUAAAAUGAGAUGAGUGCUGCAAACCCACAGUCGUUCGCAACUGGACUUAACUGUCAGGGGUCCUUUACCUUUACCUUUACCUUACUGCGGCCUAUGUUUUGCUAGCCCCAAAAUGGAAAACAAGCGAGGUCCCAACCAAAGAAGAAUGGCAACUUGUUGAAAGAAUAUGCGCAGCUUGCUGACUUAACAUAUAUAAUAAAAGAACAAGAAGAACAUACAUUUAGAGGAGACUGGAAAACGUUUAUUAAAUAUAUGGGAAAUAAUUGUGUAUAGCUGAAAACAUUGGCAGCAUUAAGAUGAAUUCAACAGUGUAAAUAAGUUUUGAUGGAUGCAAUAAGCGCAUACUGAAUGGUAUUGUUUUUGUAAAAUAUGCAGGGUUGUAUGACCUGUAAAAUGAACCAUGGAAAGAGAAGAAGGGAAGUCAUUGAUAUUUUAGGGAUGUAAAAAUGAGUAUUUAAAAUUAUAUAUAGAGAGAGAGAGAGAGAGAGAGAGAGAGAGAGAGAGAGAGAGAGAGAGAGAGAGGUGCGGGGGGAACCAAACUGACCAAACUGACUCUUCCUAACUGACUCUGACACAGUCUACUGGAGGAUUCCCAACCUUCUGCCCUACCAGUCCCAUUGGGGACCAAUAACCACUGCUGUCCAGGUUUGAUGGGAGUUCCCUAUAGUGAAAGCCGCUCCACUGACCUUUAACAUCCAGGUGUAUUCCUUUAUCACAUGUUGUGUUAUUGAGUGAUGGACAUUCUUGUGUGGAAUAGAUUGAAACUGCCUGAGUUGUGUGUGUACCUUAGCUGUACUUCCUGAGUUUGUAACUGGAUCGAAGAAUGGUUCCUUCAAAUCCAUCAGGAUUGGUUCCAAACUUUUCAAUUUUAUACAGCUUAGGAACCACCUAAAACACCCCACCUUUCCCCAUGUGCAGCUGCCCAGAUACUGAGAUCAUCAAUUGACGUCCUCCUUUUCCUGCCACCUCCGAGAGAAGUCCAUAAGCAGGUAUGAGGAACUGGAUCUUCUCUGUGGUAGUCCUCCAUUUAUGGAUUUCUUUCACUAUAGAUUCCAACUUGGCUGCUCUUUGUCUUCCUUUUUGUACCAAGUAAAGAUUUGUUUUUGGGGUUUUUUUUUAGAAGAUUGGCAGCUGAAAUUGAUGGAAUUUUUCAGAAUUGGCAAGUUUAACAAGUAGAAUUAGAGAUAAGGAUGAGGCAGACUUUAAGGAGUUGUGGGGAAUGUUCAUAGAUUGUUUCUUUUUUAAAAAAAACCUACUGUGAUCUUGUUAAAACACAAGUAUGCUUUGAAUAAGAACAGCAGGAGAUCUUAUCUGAGAAAAUUGUGUUGAAGAUAAGGUGUAGAAUAACUAUAAUAUGCAGCAACAUUUGAAAAUUUGGGAGAACCAUGGAGGUGUGAUGAAUUAUGACAAUGGCAAUGGGGUGAUGGAAGAAGACACUGCAGAUGUGUUGAUUCUGAAAUAAGUUUUAUUCUCUCCCAUGCAUUAUGGGAAAUUGAAGCAAGGAAAUCAGCAGGGGUAGGUGGAUGAGGGAACUCCCAUCCACCGCAAACACACACAGCCGUUCAUAAGUUACAUUGAAGAAUGAGCCACACAUUGAACAUGCAAGCAUAAAAUGCCAUUGAAGAAUGAAAGGGCAAAGAAAGCAACAUGCAGAAGUGUCCUGGGUUUAACAUGUCGUUGUCAGGAUGCUGAUGCGAGGUAGCAAAGUUCGCUUUUCUUGGGUUGCUUGGCAAAUGUUGCAGUUUACUUGAUGCUUGGCAAUGGACAGACCUGCUUCGUUUGCCCAAUGCAUGGAGGGACGACAAUGGGGCACUUGGUCUGUGAGUAUCCACCACCAGAUCCACCGCUGCUGCAACAGACAGCUCCGCCACUGCCGCUGCUGCAGCACACAGCUCCGCCACUGCCGCCACCACUGCUUCCACCAGGCACAACAAUGGUUUUCCCACUGCCGCCACUGUAUCCUCCUCCACCGUAUCCUCCUCCAAUCACCUUAACCCCACCCGAGCUUCCACCACCGGAUGAGCUACAACAAACGGCGCCACCGGAGCCGGACGAGCUGCAACAUACUGCACCACCACGGCCGCCGCUA
Molecule: long non-coding RNA, 21210 nt
Filed under: Podarcis lilfordi (Lilford's wall lizard)
Lineage: Eukaryota; Metazoa; Chordata; Lepidosauria; Squamata; Lacertidae
Source: RNAcentral